GCUCUGGUGGCCUAGUGGUAAGAGCAUGUGCCUCGGAUGCAAAAGGUCCCGGGUUCGAUUUCCCAUUGAGUCAUACCA
Non-coding RNA from Potamilus streckersoni, 78 nucleotides. The record is from the annotation of a GenBank genome assembly. Lineage: Eukaryota; Metazoa; Mollusca; Bivalvia; Unionida; Unionidae.